This 480-nucleotide ribosomal RNA is filed under the name uncultured bacterium. RNAcentral describes it as "partial 16S ribosomal RNA". It matches the Rfam family "Bacterial small subunit ribosomal RNA", at positions 28 to 507 of the family's 1533-position model. The record is from RNAcentral.
GAUGAACGCUAGCGGCAGGCCUAACACAUGCAAGUCGAGGGGGAAGUUACUUUCGGGUGACUGAGACCGGCGUACGGGUGCGUAACGCGUAUACAAUCUGCCUCUCACUGGGGGAUAGCCCGAAGAAAUUUGGAUUAAUACCCCAUAGUAUAUAGGGACGGCAUCGUUUUUAUAUUAAAGCUUAGGUGGUGAAAGAUGAGUAUGCGUUCUAUUAGCUAGUUGGAGAGGUAACGGCUCCCCAAGGCGAUGAUAGAUAGGGGUUCUGAGAGGGAUGUCCCCCACACUGGUACUGAGAUACGGACCAGACUCCUACGGGAGGCAGCAGUGAGGAAUAUUGGACAAUGGUCGGAAGACUGAUCCAGCCAUGCCGCGUGCAGGAUGAAGGUCUUAUGGAUUGUAAACUGCUUUUGUAAGGGAAGAAUAAGGGCUACGCGUAGUUUGAUGACGGUACCUUACGAAUAAGCAUCGGCUAACUCCGUG